GUGGGGAAUCUUAGACAAUGGGCGCAAGCCUGAUCUAGCCAUGCCGCGUGAGUGAUGAAGGCCCUAGGGUUGUAAAGCUCUUUCAGCUGGGAAGAUAAUGACGGUACCAGCAGAAGAAGCCCCGGCUAACUCCGUGCCAGCAGCCGCGGUAAUACGGAGGGGGCUAGCGUUGUUCGGAAUUACUGGGCGUAAAGCGCGCGUAGGCGGACCAGAAAGUUGGAGGUGAAAUCCCAGGGCUCAACCUUGGAACUGCCUUCAAAACUCCUGGUCUGGAGUUCGAGAGAGGUGAGUGGAAUUCCGAGUGUAGAGGUGAAAUUCGUAGAUAUUCGGAGGAACACCAGUGGCGAAGGCGGCUCACUGGCUCGAUACUGACGCUGAGGUGCGAAAGCGUGGGGAGCAAACAGGAUUAGAUACCCGAGUAGUCC
Molecule: ribosomal RNA, 425 nt
Filed under: uncultured bacterium
Lineage: Bacteria
Description: partial 16S ribosomal RNA
Rfam family: Bacterial small subunit ribosomal RNA
Source: RNAcentral